This 324-nucleotide ribosomal RNA is filed under the name uncultured bacterium. Its description in RNAcentral is "bacterial SSU rRNA". It matches the Rfam family "Bacterial small subunit ribosomal RNA", at positions 28 to 353 of the family's 1533-position model. The record is from RNAcentral.
GACGAACGCUGGCGGCGUGCUUAACACAUGCAAGUCGAGCGGUAAGGCCCUUUCGGGGGUACACGAGCGGCGAACGGGUGAGUAACACGUGGGUGACCUGCCCUUAGCUCUGGGAUAAGCCUGGGAAACUGGGUCUAAUACCGGAUAUGACUCCAUAGCGCAUGUUGUGGGGUGGAAAGCCUUGUGCGGCUAGGGAUGGGCCCGCGGCCUAUCAGCUUGUUGGUGGGGUGAUGGCCUACCAAGGCGACGACGGGUAGCCGGCCUGAGAGGGCGACCGGCCACACUGGGACUGAGACACGGCCCAGACUCCUACGGGAGGCAGCA